GAAUAAUAUUAAAUAUAAAUGAAUGUUAUGUAAAAACAUGUUAAAUAUUAUAUAAAAUGUGCAACUCAUGGAAUUGGCUAGACUAAUGAAGAAUUUUGCAUUGAUUAAUAAUUUAAUUGUUGACGAUAAGACAAUCUCGCAAAAUCAUUAAUAUUAAUGAAACGGUUUUAUCAAUUUCCUACAUACCUCAUCUAAAUCGUUGUUUAUACUUAAGAGGACGUGUUAUCUUUCGUACUUUAAAGAUUGCAAUUUCUCA
Non-coding RNA from Cinara cedri, 256 nucleotides. NCBI's taxonomy places the organism in Eukaryota, Metazoa, Arthropoda, Insecta, Hemiptera, Aphididae. The record is from the annotation of a GenBank genome assembly.